This 74-nucleotide transfer RNA is filed under the name Kathetostoma albigutta. RNAcentral describes it as "tRNA-Lys". It matches the Rfam family "tRNA". Rfam says of the family: Transfer RNA (tRNA) molecules are approximately 80 nucleotides in length. Their secondary structure includes four short double-helical elements and three loops (D, anti-codon, and T loops). The record is from RNAcentral. Lineage: Eukaryota; Metazoa; Chordata; Actinopteri; Uranoscopiformes; Uranoscopidae.
CGCUGGGAAGCUUAACCGGGGGAAGCGUUAGCCUUUUAAGCUAAAGAAUGGUGGCUCCCAACCACCCCUAGCGA